CAGUAGGCUAGGUUGGCCGCCGAAAAGUGUAAACCUUGAUGCACCUGCCUACUGUUUUUAUAAAUCAAGG
Molecule: non-coding RNA, 70 nt
Submitted as: unclassified sequences
Source: Rfam